AGUCGUAACAAGGUAUCCGUAGGUGAACCUGCGGAUGGAUCAUUAUAGGUUAUUUUGAAUGUUGUGUGAACAGUGUGGUUGCGGUUGUGGUGGGUGUGGUAUAUGGUAUAUUGUAUGAUGUAUGGUAUAUUAUGUGAUGUAUUAUAUGGUAUAUUAUGUGAUGUAUGAUAUGAUAUACGAUAUGGUAUAAUAUAUAAUAUAUAAUAUAAUAUCAUCCACCUUGACAACAUUGACGUACAUUAGUGCUGAAUACAUUAUAUAUAUUGAAAUAUAAACAACUUUCAGCAAUGGAUCUCUUGGCUCUC
This 305-nucleotide unclassified non-coding RNA is filed under the name fungal sp. RNAcentral describes it as "partial internal transcribed spacer region". The stretch from base 1 to 45 matches the Rfam family "Eukaryotic small subunit ribosomal RNA", at positions 1787 to 1831 of the family's 1831-position model. The record is from RNAcentral. Lineage: Eukaryota; Fungi.